GGCCCCACUGUCCUCACAGGCUUCCCAGGCAUGAGCCAGUGACUGGUGCACUGCCUCCCUGCCCUCCCCUGCCGGGGCAGACGGUCCUCCAUAACAGCCAGGACUUCCCUGUGGUCCAAAGGUGUGUGUCCCUGCCAGACUGGGAGCUCAGUGCACUGCAGUCCUGUCCAGCUACCCUCUCCCCCACCCCCACCCCAUCAGGAUCUGGCUUUGCCCCAGCUGUGUGGAAUGAAUGCAUGAACAAAUGAGUGGGUGGGUGGCUCAACUUGUGACAGGGCAGAAAAGUCUGCUGGUUCUGCUUAGAGGUGCUUGGACCAGGCGAGGUUCACCAGGCAGGCAGACAGGCCCCCAUCUCCGUGUUGCGGGUGGGGAAGGGACUCUGUGAAGGCGGGCGAAUGCCCCAGCAGCAGGAAUAUCAAGAGCAGAGGCCCUGGAGGAGACCCCCUGGAGCUGGCGCACAGAAAAGUCCGCAGGUUUGCCUGCGAAUCUCCCCUGCCGCCUCCCAUCACUUCCCGAGGCUCUGCAGAUGGUCAGAGUGAGUGACAUUGGGUUGGCAGAGAGGGGAGGGCAGUCUGCGGCCACAGUCCUGUGCGCACAGGGACCUUUCAACAGCCCUUCUGUCUCAGGGUUGGCCUCUGCACUUGAGCUGGGUUCUGACACUUAAAACCAGAAGUGGAAUUGGAAGCAGACGCAGGCACAUGUAAACGCUGAUUCCGUUGCUUUCUGGCAGAAUCCCAUUUCCCAGGCCCACCUGUGAAACAUCCUCCCGACCCUUGACCCCACUCCAUGAGGGGACCUCAGGAAGCUGCAGGCUUGUCUGGUGAUUUUCGGGGCCCAGGGCUCAGGGCUCAGGGAGGGGCACCCUCCUCAGAAAGAAGCACCACACUCAUGAGAAAUGACUUUGAUAGGUUGUUGGAGAAGAGCAGUUAUUUUAAAAAUCACAGAGCCCAUCAUGUGCCAGCACGUUCACACAGGGCAUGUAAUCCCUGCAGCCACCACUGUGCUGGGGCCGCGUCCUCUCCUGACGACAAGAAACUGAAGCCCUGAGACGGUGUCAAAAACACUCCUGAGGUUUUUUCUGAUUACAACAGGUGUUAAUCCAAGAAUAUUUUUCCUAACAACUGUAAAUCUUAUUUUAAUAUUUACAUAUUUAUGAGCAUUUAAAAUGCAGUCUCCUAGAAUUCUGACUUCAAUUAAUUUGGCUGAUUCUAAUUAUUUUUACUAAUUUGUUUAUCACUUCACUUUUUAGCACUUUGGUUUUUUUGACAUGGAGUCUUGCUGUCCCCCGGGCUGGAGUGCAGUGGUGUGAUCUCGCCUCAAUGCAACCUCCACCUCCCAGGUUCAAGUGAUUCUCCUGCUUCAGCCUCCAGAGUAGCUGGGACUACAGGCACCUGCCACCAUACCUAGCUAAUUUUUGUAUUUUUUAGUGGCGAUGCGGUUUUACAUGUUGGCCAGGCUGGUCUCAAACUCCUGACUUCAGAUGAUCCGCCCACGUCAGCCUCCCAAAGUGCUGGGAUUACAGGCGUGAGCCACCGUGCCUGACCUCUUUUUAGUACUUUUAUCCUUUAUUUUUUUAACUACCUACAUACCCAACAUUUUAAAUUAUUAAUCUUCGCCCUCUCUUCUCCAAGAACAAUCCCUAUUGAUCUUCCACUGACGCAUCUCUGUGUAACUGCACAGCUGGUGAUCGAUCAAAAGAACUUACUGGGAAAACCACAGCCGGCCUGCCCAUAGAUGUGGCGCAAAGGAGAAAGCCGGCUUCCUGAGAGGUGAGAGGAGGCUCAUCCCUGUUGCUUGGCUCUGCACCUGCUCCUCCAGCAGCCUGAAUCCAUUUCUUACCAUCCAGUCUUCACCCUCAGCAACCCAGUUGGAGCCACUCAAGACCCAUGAGCAAACGGAUGACCAUCAUUACUCCAGGGUGGGCAGCAGCUUCGAACAAGGUGGCCUUGUGAUUCCUGGUCACAGCCACCUGCUGCCCUAAGAGGAACGACUCACCUCAAAUCUAGAUUCCACCAUGCAUGGCCAUCAAACAUGAGGCCAUCUGGGGACAUGUCAUGGGGACUGGGUGGAUAUAAGUCACAUUUCUAGCUACCUUUGGAUAACCUUUCUGUGUUUGAUGAAAGGUGGUACCCAGCUUCUGGACUUGGAGUUUGGAAUUCGGUUUCUAGCCUCCCUGAAACAUGCUUAGGACACAGGCUUGGAAGACGGAGCAGCAAGGAAGCAGCGUCUCAGCGUCACAUGCUGCAGAGAGGGGCAGCAUUUGGUGUCUUUGGAGGCCGACUUCUCAGCAGAGGAUCACUGUGCCUGAGGCCACAGUGCCCAGAGGUGCUGGGUGGGGCGGGGAAUAUGGUAACCGGGAAACAGCCCUGAGCAGAGUUCCUACCCCUCCUAGCCGGGUAGCGAGGAUUCAGGAGUUUGCAGAACUCUGCCUGACUCUGUGCUCAGGCGUGGUCUGGGCAGUGUCUUCACAUCAUCGGCAAAGGCACCUGGGCUUUCUCCUGUUGGUCCUGGGUGACUCCCUCCAUCAUCCCUCCACGCAUGGGUCCUUCUUGUCAUCUGCCUGCGCCGUCUACAUCAGGCUGGGGCCACGCAGGCCUGACUGAGCAUGGUGAGAUCUAGAAGUUAUGCCUCAUUCAGUGAAUGUUCUUUAGAUGCUUGUUCAAUAUUUAUUUGGUAAGAAGUGGGUAAAAGUUUCCCCCGAUAAAGACCUUACACGUUCUCAGUAACCUUAUGUACCGGCUGUCCUUUUGCUCACACCUUUGAGCUUUUCUCGCUGUGCUAGUCAGCGUUCUCUAGAGGGACAGGAUGAGUAGGAUAGACGCAUCUGUGAAGGGGGUUUCUGAGGAGAACUGACUCACACGAUCACAAGGUGAGGUCCCAGGAUACGCAGUCUGCGAGCUGAGGCGCCAGGAAGCCGCCCGAGACCCAAAACCUCAACAGCAGGGACGCCGACAGCGCAGCUGUGUCUGUGGCCGAAGCUGACAAACCACCGGUGUGAGUCCAAGAGCCCCACAGCUGAGGAACUUGGAGUCCGAGGUCGGAGAGCAGGAAGCAUCCCGCACGGGAGAAAGACAGAGGCUGGGAGACUCAGCCAGUCCGGUCCUUCCACGUUCCUCUGCCUGCUCUACCCUGGCCGCGCUGGCAGCUGAUGAGACGGUGCCCACCCAGAUGGAGGGUGGGUCUGCCUCUCCCAGUCCACUGACUGAGAUGGCACUCUCCUGUGGCAGCGCCCUCACAGACACACCCAGGAUCAGUGCUUUGCACCCUUCACUCCAGUCAAGUUUGGGUUGGAUGACACUCCGUAUUAACCAUCACGCUCCCCGACUCAAAAAAGCAAAGAAAGAAACAAAAUCCCCAAAACACAACUGUUUCUCAAGAGUGUUUGUGAGCUGUGCAGAACUUGCCUAUGGCUGCAGGGGUACGGUGGUUUCUAGGCACACAGCACCUCCGGAGAAAAUUUCCAUCAUCUUUUCUCCUGCCACGCCUCCCUCCCAGCCUCACGAAGGUGGGGCUCCCGCUCCCGACCGGACCCCACUGUUCAGUCUUCCAAGCACCUCCUUUCUGGACCUCCCUCAGGUUCCCCAUAAUCCAGGUGAACAUAAUCAGCUCUGUCCCCACGUAAUCCAGGGCAGCUCAGCUCUGUCCCCCAGCUCCUGUCUUCAAGCUUGAGCAGCUCCUUCCAGCAUCUCUAGGCCAUCGGACACCACCUUAGAAACUUUUGACUCACCUGUUGAGGCCAGGCCCACCAGAAGAGCCCAGGAGCCGGUGUGUGCUGGAGCUGGCUGGCACUGGCUCCCGGAGUGGAUUGCUGCACUGCCAGGACUCACCUGUUGAGGCCAGGCCCACCAGAGGAGCCCAGGAGCCGGUGUGUGCUGGAGUCGGCUGGCACUGGCUCCCGGAGUGGAUUGCUGCACUGCCAGGACUCACCUGUUGAGGCCAGGCCCACCAGAGGAGCCCAGGAGCCGGUGUGUGCUGGAGUCGGCUGGCACUGGCUCCCGGAGUGGAUUGCUGCACUGCCAGGAGCUUUGCAGGCCAGUUAUUAGAUGCAGACCUUGCUGAAAAUUAAAGCUUACUUAAAACAUGGGAAAUAAAUACUUGAAGCCGUCA
This is a non-coding RNA of Callithrix jacchus (white-tufted-ear marmoset), 4107 nucleotides long. NCBI's taxonomy places the organism in Eukaryota, Metazoa, Chordata, Mammalia, Primates, Cebidae. The record is from RefSeq and is a predicted model, not a curated record.